AAAAUUGUAUAAUUAAUAAGCCAGAGUAGUAUUAGUUAGGGUCUUGAAACUCAAAAAAUUUGGCGGUAUUUUAGUCUGUUUAGAGGAACCUGUAGUAUAAUCGAUAAUCCACGAUGGACCUCACUUAAUUUUGUUUAUCAGUUUGUAUACCGCUGUUAUUUGAAGAUUUUAUAAGAAUAUUAAUUUUCAAGAUUUUUAAUUAAAAAAUAUAUCAGGUCAAGGUGCAGCUUAUGAUUAAGAAUUUAUGGGUUACAAUAAAAUUAUUUAUACGGAUAAAAAUAUGAAAUUAUUUUUUAAAGGUGGAUUUAAUAGUAAAUUUUUAAAGAUAAAAAGAUUGAUU
RNAcentral lists this ribosomal RNA (340 nucleotides) under Dolichopus longicornis. Its description in RNAcentral is "partial 12S ribosomal RNA". The record is from RNAcentral. Lineage: Eukaryota; Metazoa; Arthropoda; Insecta; Diptera; Dolichopodidae.